GACGAACGCUGGCGGCGUGCUUAACACAUGCAAGUCGAGCGGAAAGGCCCUUCGGGGUACUCGAGCGGCGAACGGGUGAGUAACACGUGAGUAACCUGCCCUUGGCUUUGGGAUAACCCUCGGAAACGGGGGCUAAUACCGAAUAUGAUCACUGAUCGCAUGGUUGGUGGUGUAAAGUUUUUCGGCCAGGGAUGGGCUCGCGGCCUAUCAGUUUGUUGGUGGGGUGAUGGCCUACCAAGACCANGACGGGUAGCCGGCCUGAGAGGGCGACCGGCCACACUGGGACUGAGACACGGCCCAGACUCCUACGGGAGGCAGCAGUGGGGAAUAUUGCACAAUGGGCGAAAGCCUGAUGCAGCGACG
This 363-nucleotide ribosomal RNA is filed under the name uncultured bacterium. RNAcentral's name for it is "bacterial SSU rRNA". It matches the Rfam family "Bacterial small subunit ribosomal RNA", at positions 28 to 396 of the family's 1533-position model. The record is from RNAcentral.